UGCGUAGGUGGCGCCGUAAGUCAGGUGUGAAAUUUCGGAGCUUAACUCCGAAACUGCAUUUGAUACUGCGGUGCUUGAGGACUGGAGAGGAGACUGGAAUUCACGGUGUAGCAGUGAAAUGCGUAGAUAUCGUGAGGAAGACCAGUGGCGAAGGCGGGUCUCUGGACAGUUCCUGACACUGAGGCAAGGCCAGGGGAGCGAAACG
This 205-nucleotide ribosomal RNA is filed under the name uncultured bacterium. RNAcentral's name for it is "partial 16S ribosomal RNA". It matches the Rfam family "Bacterial small subunit ribosomal RNA", at positions 568 to 775 of the family's 1533-position model. The record is from RNAcentral.